CAAUAUAAGAAAUAUAAAUAUUACAUUAAACAUCUAUCAUAAUUUAUCAUUUGAUACAAUUAAGAAAUGAAAAAAAACUAAAUUAAAAUUCUAUCUGAAAAAUGUAUAGUGAAAUAAAUAAUAACUAAAUACACAACAUAAAAAUAGAAAUAUUAUAUUUUAUAAUUAUCGUAAUAUUAGAAUAAAUAAAUGAAAAUAUAAGAAAAAAUAAAUAUUAAGUAAAUAUAGUAUAUAAGAAAUAAAAAUAUUACAUUAAAUAUAUAUCGUAAUAUUAUCAUUGAUAUAAAAACAAGAAAUUUAGAAUAAAUAAAUAUACAAAAUAAGAAAGAUAAACAAUAAGUAAAUAUACAAUAUAAAAAUGGAAAAACUAAAUUGAGCAUAUAUCUGAAAAAUGCAUAGUGAAAUAAAUAAUAAGUAAAUACACAACAUAAAAAUAUUAGAUUAAACAUUUAUUAUAAUAUUAAAAUAACUAAAUAUAAAAUAUACGAAUCUCUACUAAUAAAAGGGAGCUUUUGAAGCUCCAUAGGGCGUCCACAUAAGCGGAAAAAAAUUAUCCCGAAAGAUGACACGUGGCAUAAAAUAUAGUUUUACUUUUUAAUAUUAAUUAUUUUCGAAAAUUGUAAAAACUAUGUAAACAUACAGCAUUAAAAAAUGGAAGCGUCCACAUCAGCGGAAAAAAUUUAUCCCGAAAGAUGACACAUGGCAUAAAAUAUAGUUUUACAUUUUAAUAUUAAUUAUUUUCGAAAAUUGUAAAAAAUAUGUAAACAUACAGCAUUAAAAAAUGGAAAAACUACAUUAAACAUAUGUAAGAUUACUAUUUUUCACUUAAAAAAAAAAGACGGCUUAUCUCCAUAAUGUAACAUUACCGUUUUAUAAAAAAAAACAAAAAACAUUAUAUAUAAUUUCGAAAAUAAUAAAUAUAAGUAAAACAUACAACAUAAAAAUGGAAAUACUACAUUAAACAUAAAUAUGUUUGACUUCUCUACUAAUAAAAGGGAGCUUUUGAGGCUCCAUAGGGCGUCCACAUCAGCGGAAAAAAUUUAUCCCGAAAGAUGACACGUGGCAUAAAAUAUAGUUUUACAUUUUAAUAUUAAUUAUUUUCGAAAAUUGUAAAAAAUAUGUAAACAUACAGCAUUAAAAAAUGGAAAAACUACAUUAAACAUAUGUAAGAUUACUAUUUUUCACUUAAAAAAAAAAAGACGGCUUAUCUCCAUAAUAUAACAUUGCCGUUUUAUAAAAAAAAAACAAAAAACAUUAUAUAUAAUUUCGAAACUAAUAAAUAUAAGUAAAACAUACAACAUAAAAAUGGAAAUACUACAUUAAACAUAAAUAUGUUUGACUAUUUGUCCAAGUUCUUCUAUUAAACAUUGCCGUUUUACAUUAAAAAUAGAAAAAUACGUAAAGAUUUAAACAUCUAUCUUAAAAUAUAAAAUAUAGACAUUAACUAAAUAUAAAGUAUAAAAAAGAGAAAUACUCAAUAUAUAAAAAAUAAAUAAUAAGUAAAUAUUAUAAAUAUAUAAAUAUAUGAAUUAUAUAUACAAUAAUAAGUAAAUGCACAAUUUUUUAAAAAUGGAAAGAGUAUAUUAAAUAUUAAACAU
RNAcentral lists this long non-coding RNA (1598 nucleotides) under Brassica rapa (field mustard). RNAcentral describes it as "long non-coding RNA (BRAP_LNC008121)". The record is from RNAcentral. Lineage: Eukaryota; Viridiplantae; Streptophyta; Magnoliopsida; Brassicales; Brassicaceae.